RNAcentral lists this long non-coding RNA (2207 nucleotides) under Manihot esculenta (cassava). RNAcentral describes it as "long non-coding RNA (MESC_LNC012238)". Lineage: Eukaryota; Viridiplantae; Streptophyta; Magnoliopsida; Malpighiales; Euphorbiaceae. The record is from RNAcentral.
UGAGAAAGGUCUAGUUGAAGAUAUGGAUCCACUUUGGUUGUUUGGGUUGAUCAUUGAAACUUAAGUUCUUCUUGGUUGGUUCAAUAGAUUAGUUAUGGGGGUGGAAAACGCUUCUCACCACCAUGUCUCUCCUUAUGAUUAAAUCAAUUAGGGAACGUCCUAUAAUCAAUUACUAAUUAACAAAUUGCCAAGGAACGUCCUUGGGCCUUAGGCAUCAAAACAAUUGUCAAUUGCAUAAAGAAUGAGAGAGAUCCAAUCCUAGCUACUCCAAACGCAUGAAGAUGAUGCUAGAUCAUGCAAUUCCUUAGUUUUUACACCAAGUGUUCUUAGGUCAGAAUAUUUCCAGCAAUUACAGACCAACAAAUAUCCCAACUAACAAUCAAUUAACUUUGCAAUCAAGAAUCAAGUGGCCAAUUUGAUCAAAACAACAAAGCAAUCUUAGAAUUAAGCACACAAUUGCAUGAAUAUUGAAUCAAACCAAAAGCAAACACUUUAUGUUGAGAUCUCACAACCCUUUAAACAACCUUAAUUUCAACCAAACUUCAACUAGAAUUAGGGGUUUCAGCCACUCAUGACUGAACCAAAACAGAAAAUAAAAGAAAAGAAAGCAAGAAGAUGAAGAACUGAAGGGGAGAAGCCUUGGAGAGCCUUGGCCGAACCUUGGAGGAGUUGUGUGGAUGUAAAUCUGCCUUUCCUAUCUUCUUGAAGCCUUUAAAUAUGUCUUGGGAGGCUGCCUAGGGUUCCUUGGCAGUCCAUGAGUCUUUUAGAAGCUGUCCAAAGUACUCUUGGUCCCAUAUGUGCCUUCUUUGUGCAUGUGUGAAGGCAAAAACGUGGAGCAUGCAUGGGAUUGCAAGUGGGGGCUUUUUGGUCUUUUAAUUGCUACCCAAGGUCUUCAAGAUGUUGCCCAAGGAUUCCAAGAGGUUGCCCAUGCACUAAUAAGGAAGGUGGAGCCUCCUUUUGAAAUUUGAAUGUGCAUGGUAUGAAGUGGGAAACAUGUGAUCUUUGGAUUUGGCUUCCUUAAUAAGCUGGAUCUUGAAAUCCAAUAUUUGAAUGUGAAUCUUGAAGAUUUGGAUUUCAAAAUACUUCCCUUAUUUGGCUCCUCAAAUAUGACAACUUGGGAUAUGGCUUCUUGAAUAAGGAAAGGGAGUGUUGAGAGGGACUUUCAACUGCCUAAAAUUGCUUCCGGAAGUGGUACUUUCGGCUCUGGAGUGAAGGUUCGGCGGCCGAAGGUGGGUGACUUUCAGCUCUGGACCAGAUGACUCGCGGUUGUCAAAGCCGAUCAAAAAUAACCUUCUUAGUUAUCAACAAUUUACAACUGCAGAUAGUGAUGAAUGAUCGAAUCCACAGAGAAUUGAUUACCUAUUUAUUUUUCUCAACAAGACCAAUAAACUGAAACAAUGAGAUAAACAAAAAAUGAGAUAAACUGAAAGCGGAAUAAAAAUAAAUUGCAGUAAAAGUAAAAUGGGGGGUUUGAGAUUGAUUGUAGUAACUAAUAAUGAGAGUAAUAAUAGAAAGCAAAUAAUUAAAAUAAAAGAGGAAAUCAAUAUGAGAAAAAUCUAGUUGAAGAUAUGGAUCCACUUUGGUUGUUUGAAUUGAUCAUUGAAACUUAGAUUAUCUUGAUUGGUUUAAUAGAUUAAUUAUGGGGGAGGAAGACGCUUCUCACCACCAUGUCUCUCCUUAUGAUUAAAUUAAUUAGGGAACGUCCUCUAAUCAAUUACUAAUUAACAAAUUGCCAAGGAACGUCCUUGGGCCAUAGGCAUCAAAACAAUUGUCAAUUGCAUAAAGAAAUAGAGAGAUCCAAUCCUAGCUACCCAAACGUAUGGAGAUAAUGCUAGAUCAUGCAAUUCCUUGGUUUUUACACCAAGUGUUCUAAGGUUAGAAUAUUUCCAGCAAUUACGGACUAAAAAUAAUCCCAACUAACAAUCAAUUAACUUUGCAAUUAAAAUCAAGUGGCCAAUUUGAUCAAAACAACAAAGUAAUCAUGUAAUUAAAGCAUCAAUUGCAUGAAUAUUGAACAAAACCAAAGACAAUAAUUUAUGUUCAGAUCUCACAACCCAUUAAAAAACCUUAGUUUCAACCAAUUCUCAACUAGAGUUAAAGAAAUCAGCCACUCAUUGGUUGAAUUAAAAACAGAAAAUUAAAAGGAAAAGAAAAGAACCGAAAAUUGAGAGGAAUCUGCCCUGUGCGCCGAACUUGCCGAAUUGCUG